Molecule: ribosomal RNA, 428 nt
Filed under: uncultured bacterium
Lineage: Bacteria
Description: partial 16S ribosomal RNA
Rfam family: Bacterial small subunit ribosomal RNA
Source: RNAcentral
GUGGGGAAUCUUCCGCAAUGGACGAAAGUCUGACGGAGCGACGCCGCGUGAGUGAAGAAGGCUUUCGGGUUGUAAACUUCUUUUACCAGGGAAAAACACAAUGAUGGUACCUGGAGAAAAAGCUACGGCUAACUACGUGCCAGCAGCCGCGGUAAUACGUAGGUGGCAAGCGUUGUCCGGAAUUACUGGGUGUAAAGGGCGUGUAGGCGGAACUACAAGUCAGGGGUGAAAACUAUGGGCUUAACCCAUAGCCUGACUUUGAAACUGUAGUCCUUGAGUGCUGGAGAGGCAAAUGGAAUUCCUAGUGUAGCGGUGAAAGGCGUAUAUAUUAGGAGGAACACCAGUGGCGAAGGCGAAUUGCUGGACAGUAACUGACGCUGAGGCGCGAAAGCGUGGGGAGCAAACAGGAUUAGAAACCCCUGUAGUCC